RNAcentral lists this unclassified non-coding RNA (329 nucleotides) under soil metagenome. RNAcentral describes it as "partial contains 5.8S ribosomal RNA, internal transcribed spacer 2, and large subunit ribosomal RNA". The stretch from base 1 to 120 matches the Rfam family "5.8S ribosomal RNA", at positions 35 to 154 of the family's 154-position model. The record is from RNAcentral.
GAUGAAGAACGCAGUGAAAUGCGAUAAGUAAUGUGAAUUGCAGAAUUCAGUGAAUCAUCGAAUCUUUGAACGCACAUUGCGCCCUCUGGUAUUCCGGGGGGCAUGCCUGUUCGAGCGUCAUUAUAACCACUCAAGCUCUCGCUUGGUAUUGGGGUUCGCGGUUCCGCGGCCCCUAAAAUCAGUGGCGGUGCCUGUCGGCUCUACGCGUAGUAAUACUCCUCGCGUCUGGGUCCGGUAGGUCUACUUGCCAGCAACCCCAAAUUUUUACAGGUUGACCUCGGAUCAGGUAGGGAUACCCGCUGAACUUAAGCAUAUCAAUAAGCGGAGGA